RNAcentral lists this ribosomal RNA (323 nucleotides) under uncultured eukaryote. RNAcentral's name for it is "LSU rRNA". It matches the Rfam family "Bacterial large subunit ribosomal RNA", at positions 2157 to 2479 of the family's 2925-position model. The record is from RNAcentral.
UUGAACCUUUUCUUCCGGGAAAGGGGGAGUCAUCAGUGAGAUACCACUCUUGGUAAGCUAGAGCGCUCAUUUUUAACCGUUAUCCGGUAAAAAGACAGUUUCAGGCGGGCAGUUUGACUGGGGCAGUCACCUCCCAAAAGGUAAUGGAGGUGUACAAAGGUUCUCUCAGGCUGGACGGAAAUCAGCCAUAGAGUGUAAAAGCAUAAGAGAGCUCGACUGCGAGACGGACAUGUCAAGCAGAGACGAAAGUCGGUUUUAGUGAUCCGACGGUGCUGAGUGGAAAGGCCGUCGCUCAACGGAUAAAAGUUACUCUAGGGAUAACA